RNAcentral lists this ribosomal RNA (258 nucleotides) under uncultured bacterium. RNAcentral's name for it is "partial 16S ribosomal RNA". It matches the Rfam family "Bacterial small subunit ribosomal RNA", at positions 30 to 293 of the family's 1533-position model. The record is from RNAcentral.
AUUGAACGCUGGCGGAAUGCUUUACACAUGCAAGUCGGAACGGUAGAGGGGCAACCCCUUGAGAGUGGCGAACGGGUGAGUAAUAUAUCGGAACGUGCCCAGUCGUGGGGAUAACGUAGCGAAAGUUACGCUAAUACCGCAUACGAUCUAAGGAUGAAAGCGGGGGAUCGCAAGACCUCGCGCGAUUGGAGCGGCCGAUAUCAGAUUAGGUAGUUGGUGAGGUAAAGGCUCACCAAGCCAACGAUCUGUAGCUGGUCU